CCCGGCGCGCCAACUGUCGGUGUUUUCCCCACGGGGGGUCACACCAACGAGUAAAUUUGUAUGCGUGCUCCCUUUCCUAGAUGGUGACGCAAGAAGACACAGAGAUUUAUCCUGGUUCAGGCAAGAGAAGGCCCUACGUCCAGCGGGGGAGGGGAGUUUGUAUUAUCUUGCACCUAAGUGCUUGUACAGGGGCGAAUACAAGCGUGGUAUGGAGUAUGGGAGUUCUACUGCUGUAACAUCCCUGAUGUUACGAACACUAAAACUGGAUUAAGUCAUCAUAAGCAUUGCAAAGCAUAUUUGUUGAGCACAUCAUUAUGCAUCAACCUAAAAUAAGUUUAUUUUGGUUGAUUGUGCUUAGGGAAUUAAAGUAUGUUUAUCUGGUGAAGUGAUGCUCAUGAUGGUUGUUUUAUCCCUAGUUAAGGAGGGUGGUAAAAAAAAAAAAAAAACCUAAUUUCAAACAUAGUUUUUACCCCCUUUUGUGCAAUUCAAAAACCAAGCAAAAUUUGAGGUUGAGUUCAAAAGAAAAGUUGUAGGUCUUGUCAAGAUGUACAACUUUGGUGUUUUGAGUUUUUGGAGUUUCAAUAAAAAAUUUAAAGUAAUUUUGAAAAUACAAUUUUCCAGAAAUUGUCCCCUUUUCCGAUUUGAAUCCCCAAUUCAAAAUCUAUUUGGAAUUUUGAAAAGUGGUCAACAUGAAAGUUGUAGGGCUCAAAAAGUUGAACAACUUUCAUGUUGGGAGUUUUUCAAGUUGUUUGGAAAAAUUAAAAGUAAUUUUGGAAAUUCUAAUCUGCUCCAAUUCAAAAUUUGGAAUUUCCCCAAUUUGGGAUUUGAAAUUCAAACUGUUUUGUCAAAUUCGUCAUUUUCCACCCAGAAUUGGCUUUGGUCACCAAAAGAAGAUUUGUAGUUUGUAAAAUUCUGAAUAACUUUUGUUUUGGUGGAAUUUUGUCUUCAGUUCAAAAUUUGGACGAAUUUUGCAAAACCACAAAACUGGUUGGAUAAAGCCUGCUACAGUAACCGAUGAGGAUCACGGCCUGCACUGCCGCCACGACAGACACUGCUGCUCAGGACGCCGCCACGCACCCAGCCACGCAGCUGCUCGCCUGCUUACGGUCGCGGUGAAGUGGCCGAGCUCCUGGCGUCCUCAUCCACUUCUUCCCAUGGCUCGCACCUCACUGCAACCCUCUCUUCUUCCUUUCGCUCAACGCCGGUGAGCUCCCUGCGCCCGCAAAAAUUCACCUCUUCCACUUCCUUUCUAAGCCACCAGAGCACCCCAGCAGCUUUGCCAAGGUCUCAGCAACCAUUCGUGCCCCCUUGAUGCAAGCUCUAACCAUCUCUAGCCCCGGCUACGUCCGUUCUUCCUCCAUUCCGGCCAAAAGCGCCGCCGAGGAGCACCUCACCGUGGCCAUGCCACCUCAGGCCUUCUCGCAGCAAGCCGUGGUCACCAGAGGGUGCACAUAGGCCCAACCAUGCUCCAGUACCUCUCCCUUGUCGCCAACAGACGGUCGCCGGUCGGAAAUCCGGCUUUCCCGCGCACCUCCUCUGUUUCCAUUUCGCGCCAGGGACUUCGCGUUGGAAUUCGACACAAGGCAAGGGUCUAACUGCGAAGUUCGUGACUCAGGUGAAUAGUGCCAUCAGGACCUGUUUGUAGAUGUUUUGUUAGAUCUUUGAAAAUUCAUAUCUGGAGUUUGGCAACUCCAAUUUUGGUGAACCAAAUUUUGUUGUGCUCCUUGAGAUGUCUAGUUUUUAUUAAAAAUAUGAAACUGAUCAUGUUUUGUAGUAAAAUAAUUGGUUAUGAUUUAUGCCUUUUAAUUAUGUUUAAAAGGGAGAAAUUCAUAUCUUAUUCUGUGUAGAUCCUAUUGCCCUGAAAUUUUUAUGGUGUUCUCAUGAUGUUAUUUGAAUGUUGCAGUAAAAAUUUCAUGUUCAGUAGAUGACAUAUGAUUAAGUUAUUGAUUUAUCUUGUGUAGUGCUUAUUAAAUAAUUUACAAUUAAACUAAAAAGGAAUAAAUGUAAAAUAUGGUUCCUCUACCUUUAUAUGAAGUUGUUAUAUCAUAUAGAUACAUAAUUUAGCUAUGUGUUUGUAGAAAAUGUCGAGUUUCUUAUUUAUCUUGUUGUUACAUGCUUUCUUGUGAUGGAAAUUUAUCUUUUUCAUGGAAACUGCUAUACUUAUUCAAAUGGCAUGAAAUUUAAUAUGUGAACUUGUGUUAAUAUUACCUAGCUUCAGAAAUAUUUUCAGUUAUUUUUGAUUAAGUAUGCUCUGUUUCUUAAUAAAGCUAUUUAAAUGCUUAUAAAAGAAAUAGAAAUAAUUAAUCCCUUUAGGAUUUGGGUGAUAUUUUAGAUUGUUUGACAACCAGUGGUCACUUAGCAUAACAUGCUCCCUGGUUAAGGAUUCUUUCAUGUAAAUGAUCUUUGUUGCUUAAUAACUACACAACAUUGCUUAAUGAAGAUGAUAAAAUUUGCUUAGUAGUAAUCUAUGCUUUGAUAGCUAGAUUAAUUUGUUUCUUUACCGUGAAGGUAAAGUGUACUCGAGAUAAUCAUAUUUUGUUGUUAUCAUCCAAGAACAUGUAACCUGUCUUUAUCAUGUCAUGAGCAUCUCAUUGAUCAUGCAUAUGCACCUCUACGUGUAGACUACGCUCCAGAGGAAUCUGAUCCUCAGUGGGUUGCUUCCGAGUUUGUGGAACCAUCUGGUUUUGCUGAGUUGUCGAACUUUCCUUCCAGUCAAGGCAAGCCCCGGACAUUAAAACCCUAUCCUUGUAUUUUCAUAAAGUUAUUUAUAUCACUUGAGUUAAUAUGAUGCAUUAGGUGAAUAGGAGUUGAGUGAAUCCUAUUUGCUGCAUUAUCUACCUUGAUGAUUUCCAUAUUAACCUUGAUACCUGCUUUAUGAAAAUGCUUAGUAUGCUUAGCUCUGCUUAUUAGAUAAGUUUUCAAAUGAGAACGUUUGAAGGGUCGUUGUGGAAUACUGUUAUGGUCAAUAAUGUUUCAACUUGAGACCGGUCGGUGGACUUGCUUUAAGAAUGGAGUCUUAAAGUAGUGUCUCCAACUGAGUCGAUUAAGGACCGUACCGUUGAUUGGCCUGUUGUGAUUGAGACCUUUGAGUACAGCCCACAUGCGGCGGUAAGCCUUACCUAUAGCUAUUCCGAUACUUGAGAACGGCUAACCGCGUACUGGGAGUGGAAAGAUGGCGAGAGUAGCGUGUACCCACCUUACGGAUUUGAGAUGACCGGGAAACAUCUAGAUUGGCUGUAGGAUGGUGGUGUACUGUACUCUCGGGUGACGCUGGACCCGUUCUUGUAUGGGAGGAUCUAUAGAAAAGGUUGACAUAUGCAAGAUUAAGUUCUACAUAUGUCGUGUGGUACUGAAUCCCCAGCUGGGUUUAAUCGAUUCGAAUCGCCGUGUUUCCUCGGACAUGGAGCCUCAAUCCUCACACCAUCAUCGUAGUAAUAAGUGAAUCUUUGGUAUAAGAAAGAGAUGUUUUGCUUAUGAAAGUUGGAUAAUGAUCUUGGCUAGUUAUAAGUGAUAAUCUUGAGUUAAAACUUGAAAGUAGGCUUUACUCUUAGUAAGCUUUUAUGCAAAAGAAAUACUUGAUCUUGAUAAAGCUUUACCUUGCAACCCUAUAGCCUGCAUAUCUGAGUCUUCACCUCUUUUCUAGUCGGUUAAGUCUUGUUGAGUACUUUUGUACUCAGGGUUUUAUAACCCCUGUUGCAGGUGCUGACUUAGACUGCUAAUGGAGGUCAUGUCGGUGGGCGCGACAUGAUUUAUCCAUCUCUUCUACCUUAGAAGCUUCACAUAGGAUGCUUCCACUACUCUACACACCUUUUGGAAAUUUAGUUAAGUUUGUAUUUUAUCAUAUGUUGUAAAUUAAGUUAUAAAUCUUCCGCACUCUGAUGUAAGUUAUUUUUGUAACAAAUGUUGUAAUGUUGUGGUAACUCCAUGUUGAUCCUGUACGAGUUAAAAUGUGGAUGAUUCGGGUUUCCCGAGGACACCCGACAGACUUCUUGAGUCAUUUGGAACUCGUGCACGCUGAUCAGAAGUCUUUGAGACAAUGAUGGGUGCAUGUGGGCCACUUAAUUCAGGAGGUUCUGCCACAGCUGGUAUCAGAGCUCAUACAUGGAUCUUCUGCAACAUUACUUGUGAAAAACUUCAAAAGGAAUUUACAAAUUAAAAGUUUUUGAGGAUAACGACUUAUAAAUGCUCCUUAACUUUUCUUAUGCUUGCUGUCCCCGUUCUACGAAGACUUUCUGUCGACUCAAAUAGAAGGCAUUGAAAGGGACUUCAAUUUUUCUUCAACAAGCCGAGUGAAGAAUCAAACUACUCCAACAAUGCUUUGUCAAAAGUCUUGCAACAUUCCGUCCAGAGCAAUAAAGAUAAUGUAUAAAGUAUGCCCUAUAUAAGUAGUUACCUCCUAGCUAACGUUGUAAAGACGUAUAGGCGAGCAUAUUGCAUAUCAAGCAUAACAUGACAAAUAUAAUGAUACAUAAAAGCCCCUCCUUAUGCUUCAAAACAGUUAUUAUUCGGUAUAGCUGUUUUAUUGAUGAAUCUCAUCAUGUACCAGGUUUCGUUAACUGAUUGAUAAUCUUUUACUCCAUAAGAUCCUAAUCCUUGAUUCAUUUGUUAUGCAUGUGACCUUCCUUGAUUGCAUCUAAUUCGGACACCUACUACCUCCUUGAUGUCAUUUGUCAACAUUUAUGUUGAUUGAAUGUCACUAUGAUUGUGUCCUCUUAAGGUACCAUGACCCAUAACUUAGGUAACAGCGCCGAAACCUGGGGUCUCCUAUGGCUCGCGACCAUAAGGAAAUACUGCUGGGCGCUCGCUGUUAUCAAAGUCUAUGAUCAUGAUCCCUUAUAGACCCGCAACUUAGGUGACCUCACUCUUUGAACAAUAUUAUGGGAAUCCAUGCCCAUAUCUCUUUGGAAUUACCUAAAACCCCUGACUUAGAUAACCAACAUAGGUCAUUGAAAGCUAUUAUAACCGUACUCUAUAGUAGGUACCAUGAUCCGUGAUCACGUUAUAGCGUCGAACCUUGUAGUCUCCUGUGGACUGCAGCCAUAAGGAAAUACUACUAGGUGCUCGUUAAACAUCGGGAUCUCUGGUCAUGCUCCGCUAUAGUCCACAGUUAGUGUGCUUUCAUUCUCCUUGGAAGCUCAUUUGGAGAUUCAUAUCUUCUUAUGAAUUCUCUAACAUUCCUUAUUGAUUACAACAUUCUGUUGAUCUUAGUUGUAAUUCUCGGACCAAUUGUAAUUGUUUUAUGAACUUCUCAGAAGUUAAUGUGCUUGACACAUUUCCUUUUCCAUUACUUAACCCCACGGGUUUUAGUACCCUGGAAAUCUCGGGACGAGAUUUCUUUAAGGGGGAAGGGCUGUAACAUCCCUGAUGUUACGAACACUAAAACUGGAUUAAGUCAUCAUAAGCAUUGCAAAGCAUAUUUGUUGAGCACAUCAUUAUGCAUCAACCUAAAAUAAGUUUAUUUUGGUUGAUUGUGCUUAGGGAAUUAAAGUAUGUUUAUCUGGUGAAGUGAUGCUCAUGAUGGUUGUUUUAUCCCUAGUUAAGGAGGGUGGUAAAAAAAAAAAAAAAAACCUAAUUUCAAACAUAGUUUUUACCCCCUUUUGUGCAAUUCAAAAACCAAGCAAAAUUUGAGGUUGAGUUCAAAAGAAAAGUUGUAGGUCUUGUCAAGAUGUACAACUUUGGUGUUUUGAGUUUUUGGAGUUUCAAUAAAAAAUUUAAAGUAAUUUUGAAAAUACAAUUUUCCAGAAAUUGUCCCCUUUUCCGAUUUGAAUCCCCAA
RNAcentral lists this long non-coding RNA (5774 nucleotides) under Sorghum bicolor (sorghum). RNAcentral describes it as "long non-coding RNA (SBIC_LNC006215)". The record is from RNAcentral. Lineage: Eukaryota; Viridiplantae; Streptophyta; Magnoliopsida; Poales; Poaceae.